Molecule: ribosomal RNA, 493 nt
Filed under: uncultured bacterium
Lineage: Bacteria
Description: partial 16S ribosomal RNA
Rfam family: Bacterial small subunit ribosomal RNA
Source: RNAcentral
GACGAACGCUGGCGGCGUGCUUAACACAUGCAAGUCGAACGGUGAAGGGACCGGUUUUUGCUGGUUCUGGAUGAGUGGCGAACGGGUGAGUAACACGUGAGUAACCUGCCCCCUUCUUCUGGAUAACCGCAUGAAAGUGUGGCUAAUACGGGACAUUCUGCGCCUGCUGCAUGGUGGGUGUGGGAAAGAUAUUGUUUCGGUGGGGGAUGGGCUCGCGGCCUAUCAGCUUGUUGGUGGGGUGAUGGCCUACCAAGGCGGUGACGGGUAGCCGGCCUGAGAGGGUGGACGGUCACACUGGGACUGAGACACGGCCCAGACUCCUACGGGAGGCAGCAGUGGGGAAUAUUGCACAAUGGGCGCAAGCCUGAUGCAGCGACGCCGCGUGAGGGAUGGAGGCCUUCGGGUUGUAAACCUCUUUCGCCAGUGAAGCAGGCCUGUCCCUUUUGUGGGUGGGUUGACGGUAGCUGGAUAAGAAGCGCCGGCUAACUACGUG